RNAcentral lists this ribosomal RNA (549 nucleotides) under Parasitorhabditis sp. CD3671. Its description in RNAcentral is "partial large subunit ribosomal RNA". It matches the Rfam family "Eukaryotic large subunit ribosomal RNA", at positions 356 to 919 of the family's 3401-position model. Lineage: Eukaryota; Metazoa; Nematoda; Chromadorea; Rhabditida; Rhabditidae. The record is from RNAcentral.
AGGGAAAGUUGCAAAGAACUUUGAAGAGAGAGUUCAAGAGUGCGUGAAACCACUGGAGUGGAAACGGAUAGAGUCGAUGGAACUCUCAACAUUCAGCUGUGCUUCACGGCACAGUGCACUUGUUGAGCGUAUGCGCCGAGUCGGUUGGUGAUGCGCGCUGAACCUGAUGAUGUUGCCCUCUUGUAGGUGUCUUGUCGUCGGGGUGGGCGUGUCGUUGCUAAUCGUAUUCGGUGUGCAAGUCGAUCACCUAUCCGACCCGUCUUGAAACACGGACCAAGGAGUCUGGCGAAUGCGCGAGUCAUUGGGUGGAAAACCUAGAGGCGCAAUGAAAGUAAAGGUCGGCUUCGGAUCGGCUGAUAUGGGAUGCGUGACCGUGUGUCGCGUCGCACCAUAGCCCCAUCUCGAUGGCUUGCCAUGGGGUGGAGGUAGAGCGUAUUCGCCAGGACCCGAAAGAUGGUGAACUAUACUUGAGCAGGGCGAAGCCGGAGGAAACUCCGGUGGAGGUCCGUAACGAUUCUGACGUGCAAAUCGAUCGUCUGACGGCGUAUA